AAGAUUCGGGUUUCGGCCCUCCUCUUCAGCUGUGCGCUUCGGCUGCACGCUGUUGAAAACCUCACACCUGUGCACCUUUUCGGUUGAGGUGUUCGCGUCUCUUCCGCUUUACAUUUAACAACAAAGUCUAGAAUGUUCAAAACUAUAAACAUA
RNAcentral lists this unclassified non-coding RNA (153 nucleotides) under uncultured Auriculariales. Its description in RNAcentral is "sequence contains ITS1". The record is from RNAcentral. Lineage: Eukaryota; Fungi; Basidiomycota; Agaricomycetes; Auriculariales.